Molecule: long non-coding RNA, 624 nt
Filed under: Elaeis guineensis (African oil palm)
Lineage: Eukaryota; Viridiplantae; Streptophyta; Magnoliopsida; Arecales; Arecaceae
Description: long non-coding RNA (EGUI_LNC026748)
Source: RNAcentral
CGGCCAUAGUUUUACCUUGGGUUACCGCAUCUUCUCUUAAUGGCUUUCUGAAUCCUUUAUUAUAGGAGAUGCUUAUUGGCUUUUCAGGCUACUCAUAUCUAUCGCCUGAGGAACCAGACUGCUGACUGGGUUGCCAUCAUGCUCGCCACCGAGAUUUUUAUUUUCAGCCAUCCUCUGCUCUUUCUUGCGUUGUUGGUCGUCCCCUUACGAUUUGUGCUGAAAUAAAAAUAAUUGUCGCAUCUGGAUCUACUAACCUCUCUCUCUCUCUCUCUCUCUAUUAANNNNNNNNNNNNNNNNNNNNCUGGAGUCUACUAACCUACCUCUCUCUCUCUCUCUCUCUAUUAUAACAUUUUUUUUUACUGAGUCACUAAUCCUCCCAUAGCGGCCACAGUUUCUCUGCAGGUGCUGCAAUCGAUUAGCGGUCAAAAAUAAGUAGAACGUGGCAUCUUGCGAAACUCAAGAAUGGGGGAUCCAAAAGCAUCAUGCAACCCUCCGAGAACAAAACGACAACAUUGGGGCCACAUGUCCUCUUCGAAGAAUCGCAUGUGGAUAAUGCUUAAAGAAAAUCGCCAUCCACUCCCGCCGAGGCCGGUUAGGACACCUCGCUUUUACCCAGAGCACCCG